This 510-nucleotide ribosomal RNA is filed under the name uncultured bacterium. RNAcentral describes it as "partial 16S ribosomal RNA". It matches the Rfam family "Bacterial small subunit ribosomal RNA", at positions 28 to 507 of the family's 1533-position model. The record is from RNAcentral.
GACGAACGCUGGCGGCGUGCUUAACACAUGCAAGUCGAACGAAGAGCGACGGAAGCUUGCUUCUAUCAAUCUUAGUGGCGAACGGGUGAGUAACGCGUAAUCAACCUGCCCUUCAGAGGGGGACAACAGUUGGAAACGACUGCUAAUACCGCAUACGAUCUAAUCUCGGCAUCGAGGAUGGAUGAAAGGUGGCCUCUACAUGUAAGCUAUCACUGAAGGAGGGGAUUGCGUCUGAUUAGCUAGUUGGAGGGGUAACGGCCCACCAAGGCGAUGAUCAGUAGCCGGUCUGAGAGGAGGAACGGCCACAUUGGGACUGAGACACGGCCCAGACUCCUACGGGGGGCAGCAGUGGGGAAUCUUCCGCAAUGGACGAAAGUCUGACGGAGCAACGCCGCGUGAGUGAUGACGGCCUUCGGGUUGUAAAGCUCGGUUAAUCGGGACGAAAGGCCUUCUUGCGAAUAGUGAGAAGGAUUGACGGUACCGGAAUAGAAAGCCACGGCUAACUACGUG